AUCGCGGCGACGUGAGCGGUUCGCUGCCCGCGACGUCGCGAGAAGUCCACUGAACCUUAUCAUUUAGAGGAAGGAGAAGUCGUAACAAGGUUUCCGUAGGUGAACCUGCGGAAGGAUCAUUGUCGAAUCCUACAAAGUAGAUAACCCGCGAACAAGUUCAUUCUCGGGUGCCGGGCGUUGGGUUCCUCCCAGUGCCCGUCUCCCAUUGGCCGACAGGUGCCCGUCGGUUCCCUGUCGUGCUAAACAACAACAAAAUCGGCGCGGGAAGCGCCAAGGACUACUCAAACGGAAUGCCUUCCCGCGGCUCGACCGUUUGCGGCACGAGUUGCGGGAUAAAAGGCUCCAUUCGAAUAAACGACUCUCGGCAACGGAUAUCUAGGCUCUCGCAUCGAUGAAGAACGUAGCAAACUGCGAUACUUGGUGUGAAUUGCAGAAUCCCGUGAACCAUCGAGUUUUUGAACGCAAGUUGCGCCCGAAGCCACUAGGACAAGGGCACGUCUGCCUGGGCGUCACGCAUCGCGUCGCCCCCACGCCCAUUCGGGCCGUUCAAGGGGGCGGAAAAUGGCAUCCCGUGCUUUGCCGCGGCCUGCCUAAACUCGAGUCCUCUGCUGCGGACGUCACGACAAGUGGUGGUUGAAACCCUCAACUAGAUUGCGAGUCGUUUGCACCCCGCGGCCGAGGAGACAUCGAAUAGACCCUAGUGCGAUCCCUUCCCAAGGGAGGAGCGUUCGCCACGACCGCGACCCCAGGUCAGGCGGGGCUACCCGCUGAGUUUAAGCAUAUCAAUAAGCGGAGGAAAAGAAACUAACAAGGAUUCCCCUAGUAC
Molecule: small RNA, 826 nt
Filed under: Urceola sp. MR-2013
Lineage: Eukaryota; Viridiplantae; Streptophyta; Magnoliopsida; Gentianales; Apocynaceae
Description: eukaryotic LSU rRNA
Rfam family: 5.8S ribosomal RNA (bases 357-512)
Source: RNAcentral